Leptonychotes weddellii (Weddell seal) is the source of this 318-nucleotide non-coding RNA. The record is from RefSeq and is a predicted model, not a curated record. NCBI's taxonomy places the organism in Eukaryota, Metazoa, Chordata, Mammalia, Carnivora, Phocidae.
GCUGCCCACUGCUCUGAAGGAAUACUUCACCGGCUUUGCCAAAUCCCUGGGCCUCACCGAUGACCACAUCAUCUUCCCUGUCCCCACUGACCAGUGCAUCGAUGAUAAGUGAAUGAGUAUGCGGUGUCCCCCGUCUCUCUCCUCCCCAUCACCCUCACGCUGACCUCUGCCCAGGGCACCGCCCAGCUGUUCCACCAACCCGGACACCAGGAGAGAGCCCGGAGACCCUUCUCACCACACAGCCCACCAGCUGCUUCCCAGGCUGCCCUUCUGAUGGAACCCCUCCUUGCUUGCUAAAUAAACACAUGCCCCCAGGUC